This 506-nucleotide ribosomal RNA is filed under the name uncultured bacterium. Its description in RNAcentral is "bacterial SSU rRNA". It matches the Rfam family "Bacterial small subunit ribosomal RNA", at positions 22 to 518 of the family's 1533-position model. The record is from RNAcentral.
GGUCAGAACGAACGCUGGCGGCGCGUUUAAGCAUGCAAGUCGAGCGGCAAGGGCCUUCGGGCCCCUAGAGCGGCGGACGGGUGAGUAACACGUGGACAAUCUGCCCCCCGGCCCGGGAUAGCCCAGGGAAACCUGGAUUAAUACCGGAUGAGACGGGACCCGCGAUGGCGGGACCCGGGAAAGGCGCUGCGGCGCCGCCGGGGGAUGAGUCUGCGUCCCAUUAGCUAGACGGCGGGGUAACGGCCCACCGUGGCGACGAUGGGUAGCCGGCCUGAGAGGGUGGACGGCCACAUUGGAACUGAGACACGGUCCAGACUCCUACGGGAGGCAGCAGCUAAGAAUCUUCCGCAAUGGGCGAAAGCCUGACGGAAGCGACGCCGCGUGAACGAAGAAGGCCGUGAGGUUGUAAAGUUCUUUUCGGGAGGGGGAACAACCGUGGCAGGGAAUGGCCGCGGGAUGACGUGAAUCCCGGAAUAAGCCCCGGCUAACUACGUGCCAGCCGCCGC